UUUCCCUCAGGAUAGCUGGCACUCGCUUGAGCGAGUCUCAUCUGGUAAAGCGAAUGAUUAGAGGCCUUGGGGCCGAAACGACCUCAACCUAUUCUCAAACUUUAAAUGGGUGAGAUCUCUGGCUUGCUUGAACGUUGAAGCCACGAGAUAUUGCAAAUGGAUCAGAGUGCCAAGUGGGCCAAUUUUGGUAAGCAGAACUGGCGCUGUGGGA
Molecule: ribosomal RNA, 211 nt
Filed under: Dipara sp. D1552
Lineage: Eukaryota; Metazoa; Arthropoda; Insecta; Hymenoptera; Diparidae
Description: partial 28S ribosomal RNA
Rfam family: Eukaryotic large subunit ribosomal RNA
Source: RNAcentral